RNAcentral lists this transfer RNA (85 nucleotides) under Bacillota bacterium. RNAcentral's name for it is "Firmicutes bacterium (sediment metagenome) tRNA-Leu". It matches the Rfam family "tRNA". From Rfam's summary of the family: Transfer RNA (tRNA) molecules are approximately 80 nucleotides in length. Their secondary structure includes four short double-helical elements and three loops (D, anti-codon, and T loops). The record is from RNAcentral. Lineage: Bacteria; Bacillati; Bacillota.
GUCGGAGUGGCGGAAUGGCAGACGCGCACGUUUGAGGGGCGUGUGGGGUAAUCCCGUGCGGGUUCAAGUCCCGCCUCCGACACCA